CCUACGGGAGGCAGCAGUGGGGAAUAUUGCGCAAUGGGGGAAACCCUGACGCAGCAACGCCGCGUGCGGGACGAAGGCUCUCGGGUCGUAAACUGCUUUCAUCAGGGAAGACAAUGACGGUACCUGCCGAAUAAGCACCGGCUAACUCCGUGCCAGCAGCCGCGGUAAUACGUAGGGGGCGAGCGUUAUCCGGAUUCAUUGGGCGUAAAGCGGGCGUAGGCGGGCGCGUAAGCGGAAGCGAAAACCCGGGGGCUAAACCUCGAGCCGGGUUUGAAACUAGGCGGCUCGAGUGCGGUAGAGGUAGGCGGAAUUCCCGGUGUAGCGGUAGAAUCCGCAGAUAUCGAGAAGAACACCGAUGGCGAAGGCAGCCCUCUGGAACAUCACUGACGCUGAGGCGCGAAAGCUGGGGGAGCGAACAGGAUUAGAUACCCUAGUAGUC
RNAcentral lists this ribosomal RNA (439 nucleotides) under uncultured bacterium. RNAcentral's name for it is "partial 16S ribosomal RNA". It matches the Rfam family "Bacterial small subunit ribosomal RNA", at positions 338 to 795 of the family's 1533-position model. The record is from RNAcentral.